AAACUCGCCUCGUGGCCCACUGUGAAGCUGUCAAGCUGUGUUUUGUUGUGAUAAAAAAUGAGGCGUCCCUUUGUGAAGGUUUGUUUUAAUAUUUUUGUAUAUCUUUCGCGAGGUAUUAUUAUAAUUAAAAUUACAUUCUAAGUGUAAUAAUUAUCGAUGCUUAUUAAUUCGUGUUUUUUUUAUGUAUAUUCCAUACAGGUAGCUCGCAACAAACGAUCGACAGCACGGUUCGUGUACGUGCAGCUGCGGGAAGGGCUGUAUUGCUGGAAGGUUGCUGGUAGCUGGUAGGUUUUCUAUUUUAUAUAUUAAUUCAUUCAUAUUUUAAAGUGUUUUGUUUUGUUUUGUUUAGGUUGCUGGUAGCUGCAGCUGCGGGAAGGGCUGUAUUGCUGGAAGGUUGCUGGUAGCUGCAGCUGCGGGAAGGGCUGUAUUGCUGGAAGGUUGCUGGUAGCUGGUUGCUGGUAGCUGCAGCUGCUGGUUUUUCAUCGUUCCGGUACGCCACGAAGACCUCAAAGUUUUUUGUGAUAUAAAAAUAAAUAAAAAGAAAGAAUGAAAAGUGUUUUUUUUUUUUUUUGUUCGGAUAGAUGGGAGGCUUGUCCUCGCCCCUUUUAGGUUGCGAUUGGUGGCGCGCCGUGGCUUCCAGAGUUUUGGCUAACGGUUAGCGCGUUAGUUUAGCAUUAGAUUUAUUAUCUGAAUAUUAUAUUACGGUACCGAGCACAAUUGCGUAUCUCGAGUUUCACACGUACGUGCGGAUUCCGAUGGAAAGAAUAGUUUACACUGCCGGCUUCGAGGGUUGAAAUACAUCGGCACAGAGGUUCGCCGCAUUAAUGUUUUAGAGUUUGCCUCUAAAAUUAAUUUAACCGUUUUAUACGAUUCUUACUGAAUUUAACACAGAGUUUUUAGAUUCAGAAUAAAUUUUUUGAAUUGAAUCAAACCGGAGGUUCGUUUUUAAUUUUAUUUUCGAACUUGGAAUUUUUGUUCAGUGCAAAAUGCUAUGCUGGUCAAACUCGCCUCGUGGCCCACUGUGAAGCUGUCAAGCUGUGUUUUGUUGUGAUAAAAAAUGAGGCGUCCCUUUGUGAAGGUUUGUUUUAAUAUUUUUGUAUAUCUUUCGCGAGGUAUUAUUAUAAUUAAAAUUACAUUCUAAGUGUAAUAAUUAUCGAUGCUUAUUAAUUCGUGUUUUUUUUAUGUAUAUUCCAUACAGGUAGCUCGCAACAAACGAUCGACAGCACGGUUCGUGUACGUGCAGCUGCGGGAAGGGCUGUAUUGCUGGAAGGUUGCUGGUAGCUGGUAGGUUUUCUAUUUUAUAUAUUAAUUCAUUCAUAUUUUAAAGUGUUUUGUUUUGUUUUGUUUAGGUUGCUGGUAGCUGCAGCUGCGGGAAGGGCUGUAUUGCUGGAAGGUUGCUGGUAGCUGCAGCUGCGGGAAGGGCUGUAUUGCUGGAAGGUUGCUGGUAGCUGGUUGCUGGUAGCUGCAGCUGCUGGUUUUUCAUCGUUCCGGUACGCCACGAAGACCUCAAAGUUUUUUGUGAUAUAAAAAUAAAUAAAAAGAAAGAAUGAAAAGUGUUUUUUUUUUUUUUUGUUCGGAUAGAUGGGAGGCUUGUCCUCGCCCCUUUUAGGUUGCGAUUGGUGGCGCGCCGUGGCUUCCAGAGUUUUGGCUAACGGUUAGCGCGUUAGUUUAGCAUUAGAUUUAUUAUCUGAAUAUUAUAUUACGGUACCGAGCACAAUUGCGUAUCUCGAGUUUCACACGUACGUGCGGAUUCCGAUGGAAAGAAUAGUUUACACUGCCGGCUUCGAGGGUUGAAAUACAUCGGCACAGAGGUUCGCCGCAUUAAUGUUUUAGAGUUUGCCUCUAAAAUUAAUUUAACCGUUUUAUACGAUUCUUACUGAAUUUAACACAGAGUUUUUAGAUUCAGAAUAAAUUUUUUGAAUUGAAUCAAACCGGAGGUUCGUUUUUAAUUUUAUUUUCGAACUUGGAAUUUUUGUUCAGUGCAAAAUGCUAUGCUGGUCAAACUCGCCUCGUGGCCCACUGUGAAGCUGUCAAGCUGUGUUUUGUUGUGAUAAAAAAUGAGGCGUCCCUUUGUGAAGGUUUGUUUUAAUAUUUUUGUAUAUCUUUCGCGAGGUAUUAUUAUAAUUAAAAUUACAUUCUAAGUGUAAUAAUUAUCGAUGCUUAUUAAUUCGUGUUUUUUUUAUGUAUAUUCCAUACAGGUAGCUCGCAACAAACGAUCGACAGCACGGUUCGUGUACGUGCAGCUGCGGGAAGGGCUGUAUUGCUGGAAGGUUGCUGGUAGCUGGUAGGUUUUCUAUUUUAUAUAUUAAUUCAUUCAUAUUUUAAAGUGUUUUGUUUUGUUUUGUUUAGGUUGCUGGUAGCUGCAGCUGCGGGAAGGGCUGUAUUGCUGGAAGGUUGCUGGUAGCUGCAGCUGCGGGAAGGGCUGUAUUGCUGGAAGGUUGCUGGUAGCUGGUUGCUGGUAGCUGCAGCUGCUGGUUUUUCAUCGUUCCGGUACGCCACGAAGACCUCAAAGUUUUUUGUGAUAUAAAAAUAAAUAAAAAGAAAGAAUGAAAA
This is a long non-coding RNA of Anopheles gambiae (African malaria mosquito), 2553 nucleotides long. RefSeq lists it as uncharacterized. NCBI's taxonomy places the organism in Eukaryota, Metazoa, Arthropoda, Insecta, Diptera, Culicidae. The transcript is spliced from 4 exons. The record is from RefSeq and is a predicted model, not a curated record.